Molecule: long non-coding RNA, 566 nt
Filed under: Homo sapiens (human)
Lineage: Eukaryota; Metazoa; Chordata; Mammalia; Primates; Hominidae
Description: HSALNT0370756
Source: RNAcentral
GCCAUGUUGUAAGGACACUCAAGCUGCUCUAUGGAGAGGUCCACAUGGUGAGGAACUGAGGCCUCUGGCCAACAGCCACGUGAGUGUGCCAUCUUGGGAAAGGAUCUGCCAGCCCCAGUCAAGCCUUCAGAUACCUGCCACCCUGCCCAGCAUCUUGACUGCAACCUCAUGAAAGACCUUGAGCCAGAACCUUCCAGGGGCAUCAUCUACUCUGCCCAAACCAGGCGCUACCAAGGGCAGUGAAAUUGCUUUGAUUGACUUGGCCUAAGGACAUGUACCUGUGGUGGCCAUGGAGCUGCACCGCUCAGAUCUCCCUUCAAGAGAACCUGCUGUGGGGAGGGAAUCAUAAAUCCGGUUCUGAUUAUCGCCACACACACAGAUCCUUCUCAAAGAUUCAGAGUCUUAUUCUUUUAUCUCUUCCCUAAAAUACGAUCUAAUUUACAAAACUUUGACUUACAACUCCGCCAGAAGCCCAGCUGGCGUGUGAAGUGAUGCACUCUGCAGCCGGCAGCACUGAAAAGCACCGGCCUCCCGGGAACCCAGCAAGGACCGUGAUCUUCAGUUAU